GACGAACGCUGGCGGCGUGCUUAACACAUGCAAGUCGAACGGAAAGGCCCUGCUUUUGUGGGGUGCUCGAGUGGCGAACGGGUGAGUAACACGUGAGUAACCUGCCCUUGACUUUGGGAUAACUUCAGGAAACUGGGGCUAAUACCGGAUAGGAGCUCCUGCUGCAUGGUGGGGGUUGGAAAGUUUCGGCGGUUGGGGAUGGACUCGCGGCUUAUCAGCUUGUUGGUGGGGUAGUGGCUUACCAAGGCUUUGACGGGUAGCCGGCCUGAGAGGGUGACCGGCCACAUUGGGCCUGAGGUACGGCCCAGACUCCUACGGGAGGCAGCAGUGGGGAAUAUUGCACAAUGGGCGGAGGCCUGAUGCAGCAACGCCGCGUGCGGGAUGACGGCCUUCGGGUUGUAAACCGCUUUCGCCUGUGACGAAGCGUGAGUGACGGUAAUGGGUAAAGAAGCACCGGCUAACUACGUG
RNAcentral lists this ribosomal RNA (468 nucleotides) under uncultured bacterium. RNAcentral describes it as "partial 16S ribosomal RNA". It matches the Rfam family "Bacterial small subunit ribosomal RNA", at positions 28 to 507 of the family's 1533-position model. The record is from RNAcentral.